This 74-nucleotide transfer RNA is filed under the name Acholeplasma granularum. RNAcentral's name for it is "tRNA-Ile". It matches the Rfam family "tRNA". From Rfam's summary of the family: Transfer RNA (tRNA) molecules are approximately 80 nucleotides in length. Lineage: Bacteria; Bacillati; Mycoplasmatota; Mollicutes; Acholeplasmatales; Acholeplasmataceae. RNAcentral also lists the same sequence under 1 other name. The record is from RNAcentral.
GGGCCUGUAGCUCAGUUGGUUAGAGCACUCGCUUGAUAAGCGAGGGGUCGAUGGUUCAAGUCCAUUCAGGCCCA